Molecule: ribosomal RNA, 450 nt
Filed under: uncultured prokaryote
Description: bacterial SSU rRNA
Rfam family: Bacterial small subunit ribosomal RNA
Source: RNAcentral
UCGGGAAUUUUGGGCAAUGGGCGAAAGCCUGACCCAGCAACGCCGCGUGAGGGAUGAAGGCCCUCGGGUCGUAAACCUCUGUCGGGAGGGAAGAACGGGUGCUCUUCGAAUAGGUGAGCAGCCUGACGGUACCUCCAAAGGAAGCACCGGCUAACUCCGUGCCAGCAGCCGCGGUAAUACGGAGGGUGCAAGCGUUGUUCGGAAUCAUUGGGCGUAAAGCGCGUGUAGGCGGCUUGGCAAGUCGGGUGUGAAAGCCCGGGGCUCAACCCCGGAAAUGCACUCGAAACUGCCUGGCUAGAGUCCCGGAGAGGAAGGCAGAAUUCCCGGUGUAGGGGUGAAAUCCGUAGAUAUCGGGAGGAAUACCAGUGGCGAAGGCGGCCUUCUGGACGGUGACUGACGCUGAGACGCGAAAGCGUGGGGAGCAAACAGGAUUAGAUACCCCCGUAGUCC